Molecule: transfer RNA, 83 nt
Filed under: Bremerella cremea
Lineage: Bacteria; Pseudomonadati; Planctomycetota; Planctomycetia; Pirellulales; Pirellulaceae
Description: Blastopirellula cremea tRNA-Leu
Source: RNAcentral
GGCCAAGUGGCGGAAUUAGAAGACGCGCGACGCUUAGAACGUCGUGUCCACCGGGCGUGGGAGUGCAAGUCUCCCCUUGGCUA